Molecule: long non-coding RNA, 767 nt
Organism: Corylus avellana
Lineage: Eukaryota; Viridiplantae; Streptophyta; Magnoliopsida; Fagales; Betulaceae
Source: RefSeq, a predicted model, not a curated record
CCUCCCUUCAUUUCUCUUCAUUUCUCCUCCCUUCUCUCACGAAUGCACUUCUCUGUUCGUCCAAAUUUCGUUCUCGCAGAAAUCACUCACCUUCCUGCUGUCAGCCCCUCUCAAAAGGCUAGGAAUCUUGUCGUGGGAGCACUAAUCACUGCUCCUUUGUUUUGGCUUCUGCUGCUGUAUAUGUAGCAGAAGAAACAGAUUUUUUACAUGCGAUUGUGCCGAAUAAGACCUUCGCGUUGCCGAUUGGUGUUCGGCUUGUGUCUUGUUAUGGAGGGAUCUGCGUUGCUUCUACGCCGUUGCGGCCAGUCAUGCUUCGUCCGCUUAUGAAAAUAAAGGGAAUUGAUUCCUUUGUGAGUAGCAAUGCAUCUACAGGAUUUCGAGUAGGAUCUUUUGCUGAAAACUAUUUGAUUGAGGAGCUCAACACCCCUCAAGAGCAGAACUGUUGCUGCAGCUGCUGUGGUUGAUGAACGGCCAUAUACAGAUAGAGCUCUUUCUAUCAGACCACUGCAUGUCUCGAUUAGAGGCCAAGAGUUCACCAAAAGCGGAUUUGAAGAAGUAAGCAAGAAGGUGGAAAUAUGGUGAAAAACCUGGCAAUAUUGUGGAAUCAAGGGGUUUGCUGCAACUAUAUAUGUUUGGCAUCUUUGAUCAGAUGAAAAUUAGGCGAUUUACUCGAAUUUAAGGUUGCUCCGAUGGUCCAACCUCAUUUGAAGUAGGAAUUUCUAAGAGUUGAGACACCUUGGACUUCGGAGAUAGUUGUUGAACUUGAG